RNAcentral lists this long non-coding RNA (1175 nucleotides) under Cricetulus griseus (Chinese hamster). RNAcentral describes it as "lncRNA (ENSCGRG00015033894.1)". The record is from RNAcentral. Lineage: Eukaryota; Metazoa; Chordata; Mammalia; Rodentia; Cricetidae.
CACAGAUGAAUGACCCUUAGGACCAGGUCGUCUUGGAGACACUAAGUCUAAGUCUGCCUUAGAGAACACCACAGGAGCCUCCAAAGCAUGGACAGCGCAGCAAUUCUGAGGAGAGGAAGAAGGGCCCUAGAGGCAUGGGGUCACAUCAGGUCCCUAGGCACUCCUGCCCCUAGAUGCCACAGAAGGUGUCGUUGUGUGUGUCCGGAGCUGCCAGGCUGCAAAUGUCAAACAAGGUUGUGGAAGCAACUUGAGGUGCCAGUGGGUGAACAGGCCCAAGAAGAUGGUUUUUUUUAUUAGAAACCUUCCGUUUUUCAGACGUUUUUCUAAUUUAGUCUUGGCAAAGGUCUGGGUGGAUGUCCUUAGCCUCAGGGCAAUUUGAUUUAAUAUGGAGUGGGCUAUUAAGUGUUGGAGAAAAGAGACAGCUCUGUGAGACAAAAGCGGUGACUCCGGUCCCAGCAUGUCAUUAACUACAGAAGUGAUUCUCUGAGCCUCAGUUUCCCCAUCAGCAAGACACAAAGAGUUGGUUGAGCCCUAGGCUCUGUGUCCUCCUGGACACAGGGUGACAAAGCCAAUAACUCCACGACAGGAGAAUAAACCCUCUAGAACGACCCAGUUCCGAGAGGACCGUGGUUGUCACAGUCUCUAGUUUUGGGGAUCCGCCUUGUUGCCAACUCUUAGUUGACCGUGUGUCCCGAGUCUUAACGUAGGUCCAACAUCAAGUUCUCACAUUCACACACGGACCUCUGCGGUAGGGCACCCGGGGGCUCAGGGGUCCUGGUUCCCGCCCUGUCUGGCCCGAAGCGCCCGGCGCCCUGGCAGCCGCGGUGGCGGUGGACCCCUGGGGGCGCCGGGCUCCGACGCGCCAGGCAGGGACGUGGCGCCUUCCGAGGCGUGGCCCGGGGCUGGGCGGAGGCCGCUGCCCGAGGAACGAGGGUCCCUUCUCGGACAAUCCAUGCCCGGCUCUCGCCGGCUCGCAGAGACCGCCUCGGGAACGCCCUGGGCGCCGCGGCGCGUGCAGCGGGACCGGGGGCCAUGGCAACCCCAGCGCGCACCGCCCGGCCCCCGCGCCACCCCCGCGUCUGCCGCUGUCUCGGCGGAGCCCCGCGUCGCCGCUGCCGAUUGUUCAGCGCCGAGACUGGCUGGCUCUGCUCAAUUUCCAGACGCCUCCGUGGUCC